UACAGAGGGGGCAAGCGUUGUUCGGAAUUACUGGGCGUAAAGGGCGCGUAGGCGGCCCGCUAAGUCGAACGUGAAAUCCCCGAGCUCAACUCGGGAACUGCGUCCGAUACUGGUGGGCUUGAAUCCGGGAGAGGGAUGCGGAAUUCCAGGUGUAGCGGUGAAAUGCGUAGAUAUCUGGAGGAACACCGAUGGCGAAGGCAGAUCUCUGGGCCGUAACUGACGCUGAGGAGCGAAAGCGUGGGGAGCGAACAGG
This 253-nucleotide ribosomal RNA is filed under the name uncultured bacterium. RNAcentral's name for it is "partial 16S ribosomal RNA". It matches the Rfam family "Bacterial small subunit ribosomal RNA", at positions 524 to 776 of the family's 1533-position model. The record is from RNAcentral.